This 238-nucleotide long non-coding RNA is filed under the name Elaeis guineensis (African oil palm). RNAcentral's name for it is "long non-coding RNA (EGUI_LNC032541)". The record is from RNAcentral. Lineage: Eukaryota; Viridiplantae; Streptophyta; Magnoliopsida; Arecales; Arecaceae.
CAUACGCUAGUGCUACAAUCGGAUUAGUAGGCUUGCUUGAAGCAUAGUGCUUUAGCUACUUCAAGGAAGUUUCUAUGUUUGUGCUUAACUACAUUUUGCUGUGGCAUGCCAAUCUAAGAUGUUUGAGAAUAAUUUCUAAAAAAUCUAGGUACGUCUAUAAUUGAUGAUCUAUAAAUUCCAUCUAAUUAUCACUCCAAACUAUUUUAAUUUACAAGAAAGCUGACUUUUAAUGAGAGCA